AAGACACAGCAUCACCAAGGAGACAGAGCCUGAGUGAAUCAUGAGAAGAAGUGUCAGGCCUGAGUGAGGAGCUUUCUGCAACAUAACUGACCUGUCAGCUCCCGGAGGGUCAAGGUCCCAGGAACUGUCCCAGUCUAAAUCAUACUGAAGACGCCUUAGCUCAGUGCAGUGCCUGACUCUGAUCUGAAGGUCUUGCUUGCUGAAGGACAUGGUUGGGACAACUGGCAAAACCUAAAAGGACGUGCGUGAUUAUUUAACUAGGAAUGUCAGACACUGUUCCUUGAAACACUUUCUGGGGAAAAGCUACAGGCCUGUGGUGACUGAAAACAGACAGCAAGGUGGCGUGUCCUAAAGACGCACGAGGCAAGGGAGGGCUGGCUGGCAGACCUCCCUCUGUCACUACAGCCAUCCUGCAGGCUCCCCCCAACCAUCCUGCUGUCAACCUGGGCACUGGGAGACCUUAGAAAUAACUUUUGCCCACUUGGAAAGGAGCCGGUCAAUUAUCAGGAGCCAUCUGUAUUUGGGUGUUGCUGUCUGUUUCCUCACGCCUCUAUGACCAGGAACUGCCUCGGCCUGUGCUGUGCUGUCUGUGUGCUUGAGAUAUUUUGCAGACCCUGCACUUGAUGGAUCAGCUGGAUUGAUAAACUGGCUCCUCCGAUCUUGUGGCCCCCACCCUGGAACUGACUGAGCGCAAGAAGACAAUUUCCACUCCCUGUGAUUUCAUCCCUGACCAAUCAGCACUCCUGGCUCCCUGGCUUCCCCCACUCACCAAAUUAUCCUUAAAAGCUCUGCUCCCCUAAUGCUCGGGAGACUGCUUUGAGUAAUAAUAAAACUCUGGCUCCCGCACAGCCGGCUCUCCGUGAAUUACUCUUUCUCUACUGCAAUUUCCUUGUCUUGCUGUGUCGGCUCUGUCUAGGCAGCGGGCAAGGUUUAACCCUUUGUGCAGUUAUAGAGUGUUUUCUGUCUUCAGCAUUGUUUUUAGCUCGCACCACCCACCCCUGAGUGGGAAGGGAAGUGGUCCUAAGUCUUCUCAGUGUCUCGUGUGGGU
Molecule: long non-coding RNA, 1048 nt
Organism: Callithrix jacchus (white-tufted-ear marmoset)
Lineage: Eukaryota; Metazoa; Chordata; Mammalia; Primates; Cebidae
Source: RefSeq, a predicted model, not a curated record